UCUAACUGUAGCUCCCUGUUGACGAAAACUGUCCAAAUCCAUUUUGUCAAGAACGUCUGUUAUUUUAGCUGAAGAGAAAAACAAAGCAAGAAAAGGAGAAGUCUCCAGAAGGGGUCGUAUCCCUCAUUUAUAAGGGUCUGUGCAGAAAACAAAGUGAGAAAUCACCCUCUCCGCUGAGGUCAGGAGCCUGGCUUUUAUACUAGGUGCAAUAAAUGAAGCAAAGACGUAAUACUGACAUAGCGGAAUGGGAAUGAAACUGUUGCAGCACCAUGCAAGACGUCCUUUUGUUCGCAGGGGCCAGCACAAGCUGCUCCCUAGAAAAACACAGAGGAGUCUAUAGGGGAGUCUUCUUUCUCCUCCCCCAUGGAAACGUAUAUGUCACAGAUUAUUUUGAACCCUCUGCAAUAUCUUCGUAUUCGGAUGCCUUGGAAGGGGGAGGAACGCAUGUCCUACUCCAGGAAGACUUGGCAGUGAGUUCCCAGUUUUACAGAUGACGCAUUUACUCGAUUAUUUUUAGCACGUUAUUACCAGGCUGCUUUGGCUUAUUUCAUGCCUCCUUCUCCCCCCAGCUGUGCAGUUUUGCUGGGGAGGAGCCGAGUGCACCGAGCACUCACCUGCCCUCUGCCUUCCUCCCACCCCCGUGCUGCGGUGACAGCCUUGGCCAGGGACUCAUGAGUGGUUCCCAGGUAGAGCUGGCUGCUCUCUGGGUGCAGCUAAUGGAGUUGUUGGAGCUCCAAGCAAAGUCCCGGUGCGAUGCGUGCUCGGCUGCACUGCGAUAACUGAUUGUGCAUGUCCUCUGCCCGUGACAAACGCAGGCUCAGACCCUGGUGAAAUACGUUUAUGGGCAUUCUGCUCUGCCCCCGACCGUGCUGUUGGCGUGUUGCAGGACGCGGACCUGUUAGUGCUGGAGAGCUGAGCAGCCCCAGUGAGCACACCAAAGUACCAGACUGGUAUCAGCUCUGUGAUCAGCCCAAGGACCAGGUGAGAGGCGAUGCCAAGGGGCGCAAAGCGGCACUGGAUGCCAUAAGCCAGCACAAUAGCCAGGCUGCCAAAGGAAGGAAGUGGAAUUCUGGGCAGUUUGGAGGUUUUGAAGACAACCUUGCAAUGCUCAACGGUUCCUGA
RNAcentral lists this long non-coding RNA (1122 nucleotides) under Numida meleagris (helmeted guineafowl). RNAcentral's name for it is "lncRNA (ENSNMEG00000020891.1)". The record is from RNAcentral. Lineage: Eukaryota; Metazoa; Chordata; Aves; Galliformes; Numididae.